UCCCUGGUAGUCCAGUGGUUAGGACAUGGCGCUUUCACUGCUAGGGUCCAGGUUCCAUCCCUAGUAAGGGAA
Molecule: transfer RNA, 72 nt
Filed under: Ovis aries (sheep)
Lineage: Eukaryota; Metazoa; Chordata; Mammalia; Artiodactyla; Bovidae
Rfam family: tRNA
About the family: Transfer RNA (tRNA) molecules are approximately 80 nucleotides in length. Their secondary structure includes four short double-helical elements and three loops (D, anti-codon, and T loops).
Source: Rfam by way of RNAcentral